AUGUUUUUCUCACAUGCUUUAAUAAGCUCCUCUUCAAUGAAGGGCUUGUUUUCCACCUUGGCUGGAGGACACUUGCUUGGAGUUGCAACAGCCUUCAGCUCUUCACCGCUUAGGAACUGCCCCAGCUGCUCCUCAUUCAAGCGAAUAGGAAUUGCCCCAGCUGUUCCUCAUUCAAGCUAACCUUUCUGUGGUCAAUCUCGUAACUGAUGGAGGAAUAUGAAAGCCAAACCGCUUGACAGGUAUUUCAAAACCAGUACUUUCCCUCUUUUUCACAGGUAUUGUUCUCAAAGAUACAUCUGCACAUUCAAAUCUAUCUAGAGUCUUUCUCAGAGUCAGAUUCUUAGAGAACUCAACUGGUGACGGGUAAUUAAUUGAGUUGAUUCUAAAUGUUUUAUACUUUAAAAAUUUAUUUGCUAGAAAGCGUUCCAAGUUAAAGUUAAGCCAGUCAUAGAAUGCCACUUCAUUUUCUUAGCUCUUUACAAUUCAGGGUUAUCUUCCAUGUGUACAUAAUUUUCUUUCAAUUAUUUUAAAACUCUUUUUUUUAAUUUUAUUUUUAUUUCCUUAGUAAUUUUCAUUUCUCAAUCCUUCAUUAGGUUUUCAGAAAAAUUUAUUGUCUUGUGUGCAUAUUAUGUUGUCUUUGGUAAUACUUUUGUAACUUUAUUUUCUCAAGUUCCUUUUUCUCUAGUGCAUUUCCAUUGUGAUUUUUCUUGAAUUUAUAAUAGGACCUUAUUUUUACAUGAAGUGUUACUAUACAAUGUUCUUUUGAUUUGUGGUUGUUUAUUGGUGAGUAUCUAUCAGUUGUUUUAACUGAUUAUCUCUAUUGCUAUUAAUUUACAUUUUGUUUUAUUUUCAUAGAAACUUUGUAUAAAUAUCAUCUUCCUCUUACACAUGUAUUAAUCUUUAGGACCAGCAACAUCAACAGUUAUAUUUUUAGUUCAAAACAUCUCUAUUGCCAUGCAUAGUGUGUUAAGAACUGUUUAAAACCUGAUAUUUUACCACACUUGCAAAUUAGCCAUCAAGUCAGCCAAAAUUUUAAAGAUGUUAGCAGAAUACUUUAAUAAUAAAUUUUACUACUCAAAGCCAGGCAACAAAUUCCUCAUGGCCACGUCAGUUUCACUGCCUCCCCAAGUCCCUUGGGGGUAACACUGAAGAGUACAGGUGGGUGUUGAGCAUCCUGUGGGUUUGUACAUCUGUGGAACCAUACCUUAGGAAAGCCACGUCUUUGAAAACAGGCUUCAAACAAGCCUACCCAACCAUUUCUUAGAGGAUGACAUUUUUCUCCAUCUUCCAAGGUUGCUUGCUGUGCAACCUUCUUUAAAAUGUCAGGAAAAAAAAAAAAAAGCCAUCAGUUGCUUAUUUCCAAAAACAUAAACAGAAAAAAAAAAAAAAAAACACUUGGAAAAUUGCUUUCCAUAUAGUGAAUUACAGUUUCUUUAAUAAAUUGUGCUUUUUUGUGGGAGGUGGCUUAUUUUCUGAUUUUAUUAUUUUAUUUUGUUUCUGUUAGAUCAUUAACUUCUGUAACUUACUUCUUUCUCUUUUUUUACUUCUAAGUAUCUAAAAGGUGCCUCUCUGUUGUAAGUCAGCACUCCCCUCUUAGAAACAAUGCCAUGCAAGACUGGCAUAUCUGUUUCUAUGAACAUGCAAGCUUUGCCUUUGUUUCUCCAUUAAACUAUUUUCUGAUAGAAUCAGUCUCUGAUUUAUUUCAAGCACUUCCUCACACGGCAGAAUUCUUGCCUUUGCUAAAUAUGAUUUUACCUCUUUUCAGCUAUUGGUAGCACGUCACUGCCCUCUUUCAUUUUCUUUGCCUGAUUUCUCAUGUGGAUUCCAGCACUGGCUAUAAUGGAUUCAGAAUUUCUAUUUCCCUACAUACAUGGUAUUGACAUUUUUAGUAUUCUUGUUCCAUUAAGUUAUGAGUGGUUUUAUAUGCUCUCCAUGUUGGAUUUAAUGGCUUUUGCAGAAUGUGUAAAAAGAUUAAUAUUUAGAAGGAUUUAAUUAUCCAAUGUGUGAACAGUAGAAUUUUGAUUGAAACCGGAUUAAUUUUACAGAUUACCUAGAAGAGAUUGAAUAUCUUUACAAUAUUGGAGUUUUGCAUCCAGAAACAUAUUAUGGAUUUUUCAUUUAUUCAGUUUUUUUCUACUCUCCUAUGAAUUUUUGUCUUUUCAAAAGAAAAAUAUUAAGCCUUAU
RNAcentral lists this long non-coding RNA (2184 nucleotides) under Macaca mulatta (Rhesus monkey). Its description in RNAcentral is "lncRNA (ENSMMUG00000060062.1)". The record is from RNAcentral. Lineage: Eukaryota; Metazoa; Chordata; Mammalia; Primates; Cercopithecidae.